This 858-nucleotide ribosomal RNA is filed under the name uncultured bacterium. Its description in RNAcentral is "bacterial SSU rRNA". It matches the Rfam family "Bacterial small subunit ribosomal RNA", at positions 26 to 901 of the family's 1533-position model. The record is from RNAcentral.
AGGACGAACGCUGGCGGCGUGCUUAACACAUGCAAGUCGAGCGGAAAGGCCCUUCGGGGUACUCGAGCGGCGAACGGGUGAGUAACACGUGAGCAACCUGCCCUAGGCUUUGGGAUAACCCCGGGAAACCGGGGCUAAUACCGAAUAUGACUUCUGGUCGCAUGACCGGUGGUGGAAAGUUUUUCGGCCUGGGAUGGGCUCGCGGCCUAUCAGCUUGUUGGUGGGGUGAUGGCCUACCAAGGCGACGACGGGUAGCCGGCCUGAGAGGGCGACCGGCCACACUGGGACUGAGACACGGCCCAGACUCCUACGGGAGGCAGCAGUGGGAAUAUUGCACAAUGGGCGGAAGCCUGAUGCAGCGACGCCGCGUGAGGGAUGACGGCCUUCGGGUUGUAAACCUCUUUCAGCAGGGACGAAGCGUAAGUGACGGUACCUGCAGAAGAAGCGCCGGCCAACUACGUGCCAGCAGCCGCGGUAAGACGUAGGGCGCGAGCGUUGUCCGGAUUUAUUGGGCGUAAAGAGCUCGUAGGCGGCUUGUCGCGUCGACUGUGAAAACCCGCAGCUCAACUGCGGGCCUGCAGUCGAUACGGGCAGGCUAGAGUUCGGUAGGGGAGACUGGAAUUCCUGGUGUAGCGGUGAAAUGCGCAGAUAUCAGGAGGAACGCCGGUGGCGAAGGCGGGUCUCUGGGCCGAUACUGACGCUGAGGAGCGAAAGCGUGGGGAGCGAACAGGAUUAGAUACCCUGGUAGUCCACGCUGUAAACGUUGGGCGCUAGGUGUGGGGGGCCUCUCCGGUUCCCUGCGCCGCAGCUAACGCAUUAAGCGCCCCGCCUGGGGAGUACGGCCGCAAGGCUAAAACU